This is a long non-coding RNA of Pongo pygmaeus (Bornean orangutan), 567 nucleotides long. RefSeq lists it as uncharacterized. The record is from RefSeq and is a predicted model, not a curated record. The transcript is spliced from 3 exons. Lineage: Eukaryota; Metazoa; Chordata; Mammalia; Primates; Hominidae.
UAUGCCUCCCGGACCCAGAAGAAUGUCCUGCUUGAGGCAGACAGUCUAAUUGAGAUGCAGAACCCACCAAGAAGCCAAACUCAGGUCAAUUAAAGGUGUGGCAAUGGAGAUCUGAGACAGCCCAAGAUCGUCAAAGUCCUUCAGAGACCUUCAGGGACAUUCGAAUAUGAGUACAUCUCCCUUCUGAUUCUGCUUGUGGUGCACAAACAGCCACAGCGCAACCACCUGGGCACGGGGGAAAGCUGGGAAAGCUGGUGGCACCAUUGUUCAUAAGAAAAAGAAAGAACAUGAAAUUCUCACCAGUGACAUCAUCGUGGGACACUUGGGCGAUGGUGAUGCUGAUAUGAAUGCAGUGGUUCCAUAGCACCAGUAGGAAUACCUCUCAAAAAUAUCACAAGCAGUUUAAAAAGACAAGAAGAAGAAAGGUAACCAAAGGAAGACAACAACACUGAUGUCCAUCUUAACAUGCACCAAACAAAACUAUAGCUUGAUUAUGAACAUGCACAUGCACGUGCACGCACACACACACAUACACACUUGUGUAAUAAAGCUUUUUUUUCUUUUAGA